GAUGAACGCUAGCGGCAGGCCUAAUACAUGCAAGUCGAGGGGCAGCACAGGUAGCAAUACUGGGUGGCGACCGGCGCACGGGUGCGUAACACGUAUAUAAUCUGCCCUUAUCUGGGAAAUAGCCCGGAGAAAUUCGGAUUAAUGUCCCAUAACAUUAUGAUGUGGCAUCACAUUAUAAUUAAAGCUCAGGCGGAUAAGGAUGAAUAUGCGACUGAUUAGUUAGUUGGUGAGGUAACGGCUCACCAAGACUUCGAUCAGUAGGGGUACUGA
RNAcentral lists this ribosomal RNA (270 nucleotides) under uncultured bacterium. RNAcentral's name for it is "partial 16S ribosomal RNA". It matches the Rfam family "Bacterial small subunit ribosomal RNA", at positions 28 to 295 of the family's 1533-position model. The record is from RNAcentral.